GGUCAGGUGUAGAUCAAAUCGCCACUCUUCGCAUCAUCUUAGAGCAAAGAGCAGAGUGGAAUGCAUAGCUUUAUAUUAACUUUAUUGAUUUCGAAAAAACAUUUCAUAGUGUACAUAGGGAAGGCUUAUGGAAAAUUAUGCAGCACUACGGCAUACCAGACAAGUAUAUAUCUAUAAUAAGAGCAGCUUACCAAGGAAUGUCAUGCCGAGUCUUGCAUGGAAACGGAGCUACGGAUAAAUUCGAAGUAAAAACAGGAGUUCGACAGGGCUGUAUACUUUCUCCCUUUUUAUUUCUACUAGUUAUAGAUUGGAUUAUGAAGGAAACUACUAUUGAGAGCCAAACAGGCAUUGAAUGGACGGAUGCAGAAGCUCUAGAAGAUCUCGACGUUGCAGAUGAUAUAGUGCUACUUUCACAAACAUAUAGCCAUAUGCAAAAUAAAACAUCAACAUUAGAAGCAAUAGCUGCCAAACUAGGAUUGAAAGUCAACUGCGACAAAUCAAAAAUUAUGCGCGUUAAUGAAGAAAUUCAGCGAACGUAUUAAACUAGAAACCGGUGCUCUAGAGGAUGUAGCUGAGUUUACGUAUUUAAGUAGUAAGAUAACGUUCUCAUGCGGCACCAACGAAGAUAUUAAGACAAGAAUAAGUAAGGCAAGGACCGCUUUUCACCUGUUAAAAAAAGUAUGGGGCGCAAAGUACUACAAUUAUCUCCGGAAAAUACCCACAAGGAUUCUUUACAUGGAUGUUUACUUCUGGAAUGGAACUACACUCUAAGUACUGUUUAUUCGUUGUUCUUUCUUCUGCGCAUCGCUCUCCCUUCUUACUACAAAUCUCCUCUUAUAGAUGUAAUAAUUCAUGCUUCUACUAUUACCGUCUCCGAUGAAGGGAUACAUUGGAUUUUCCCUGAAACAACUGUAAGACUUUAUACAUAAAAUAUAAUUCUAGCCUUGU
Octopus bimaculoides (California two-spot octopus) is the source of this 948-nucleotide long non-coding RNA. Lineage: Eukaryota; Metazoa; Mollusca; Cephalopoda; Octopoda; Octopodidae. The record is from RefSeq and is a predicted model, not a curated record.